This 3046-nucleotide long non-coding RNA is filed under the name Homo sapiens (human). RNAcentral describes it as "HSALNT0018629". Lineage: Eukaryota; Metazoa; Chordata; Mammalia; Primates; Hominidae. The record is from RNAcentral.
AGGGAUGAUGGUGGCCUGGAGACCCUUGAGGGGCAGAAACAGUGGCUUACUCCUGUGCUUCUGUGGUCUGUUUCCUCACUUUGCCCCAUCCAUCAAGUGUUGAGGCUCGGUGGAGUUGAGCUUCCUUUUCCCUCCAUCACUCACAUCCCACUUCCCAUCACCUGCUUCCAAGCAAGAGAACUCCAGGUUACUGGCCUCCGGCAGCAGUCCAGCUGUUACCAGUAAACUGGAAGCUGACGUCACUAACAAGCAUUCAGGGAGCACCAAGAAGCAGACCAGAGGUCUCCUAAGCUUGACUCCUCUUCGGCAUGAGACUAAGGAAGCUCCCCAAGUUCCAGUCAGAGGUCUGAAUUUGUGAAUUUGCUGAGGCUGAUAGGACAGUGUGGGCUGUCCCUGAAAGUUGGAGGAGGUGACAACAAGGUUGGGGGCCUUCCAUAUGGGUGCCUGCUGUACCACAUAUCCAGUAAAAACAGAACAUUUACGAAUGCUGGAAAAAGGUCUCGUUUGUAAUGAGCAGUGGAGUGUGACAGCCUCUGACUGUUUCUUUGACCAUAUAUAGGAAUGAUCACCGUGAUAAUAACAGCAGUGACAACAAUCCCCGGAUAUUGGGCUUUUCAUUUCCAAGAGAGAGAGGUGAGCAGGAGUGAGGAUAAAGACAUGGAGAGAUAAUGCAGACGACCACGUUCUCUUGGCCAUACUGAACUGAUGUCCGAGAGCAGGCCUUGGCAAACUUCCUCUGGGAAGGGCCACAGUAAAUAUUUUAGGCCUUCCAUUCCAUAUGGUCUCACUGCGCUUCAACUCUGCCAUUGUAAGCUUGAAAGCGGCCAUAGAUAAAAGUAAAUGAAUGAGUAUGGCUGAGUUCCAAUAAAACUUUAUUUAUGGACACUGAAAUUUGAAUUUCAUGCUGUUUUUCACAUGUCACAAAAUAGUCUUCUUUCAUUUUCUCCCAACCAUUUAAAUGUGUAAAAACCAUUUUUGUCUCGCAGGCUGGAUGUGGCCUAUGGGCCAUAGUUUGCCUGCCCUGCCCCAGAGAACAGAAUUAACCACCAGUAGCAUCAGAGGCUAACACUGUUCAAGGGUUUUGCCCUCUUUAGAGCUCAAACAGCAGGGAUAAUUUCCACCUUGAGAGACAUCUCUCCAGAGCUCUUCUGCAAAAACUGUUCUUAUUUUACAAACAUGAAAACAUUGAAAAUCAAAAUUAAAUGGAAAAAUUCAUCUCCAACAGCAUCUCUUCCCAAUCAGUCUUCAAAUUUCAUUUCAAUCUUUGUCCAUAUGCAUGACAUUUUUAUACCAUUUUAAUCCUAUUAUAGACACAGUGUUUUAGUUUGCUUUUUUUCACUUAACGUUAUCUUGUAAAAUUCUUCCCUGUUGUGACUGAUUUCUUCUAAUCAGACAUAUCAUAAUUUUUUGUGGAAUUUUUUUGUGGAAGAUUUCCAUGCUAUUUGUUGGACUUAAUUAAAAGGGAUGUCUUAGUGUCUUCUCAAGUGUAACAGUUAAGAUGCAAAUGCUACCACCUUGCCCUCAAGCCAGGAAACCUGGGAAAACCCACUUGGUAGACUGGAGCCUCACACACCUCCCCCAGGAUUCACUUCCUUUUGGACAAUGGCUUUAGCAAAUCUGGCAUUUUAAUUCAUUUGCCUCUUGAUGUGCCUUCCAGACAAACUCUUUAGAGCUCUUUGCUCUGAAAGAGCUCUCUGUUCCACAUACACCCUAGAAUUUAUGUUGAACUUGGAUGGAGGUUUGGGGAGACUAAUCACACAUCUCCUUUCAUUACAGUUUUUAACCAGGAAAUACAGAAAGAGUUAGAUGAGGAUCAGUUUUCUUGCUGGAUUAGAGAACUUGAAUAGGAAGCACAUGCAUUUGGCCAGGAAGAAGACUUCAGCUAUUGAUGGGAGGGCCCUCUUUCUAGAAGGCAGAGAACAAUGGACUAGCCAGACAGGAAGGAGAGAGGCCCAGAGCGCAGUAAGGAGUGGGCAUCUGGGACCCAGGGUUGGGAAGAACACUUCUGUUUGGCUUCCUUCCUCUUCUAGGGCAUGGCUAAGGUGGCCAACCUGCAUGCACCCCAGAAGAGGAAGAUAAGUAGGCCCAUGGGACUUUAUUAUGGAGCCUGAGGCUUUCACUGGCCUGAUUAAUCCAUUUUCUGGGAAUGAGCACUUUGGGAGGAUAACAAUCAAAGGAUCCCCAGAGGACACGUGACAGGCUGGGGCCAUCAGAACUACUGAUCCGUGGGUACUAUCCGGCUUACUGAAUUAUGAAACACAGGUUAAAUUAAGGGUUGUCACACAUUUGGCUAAUUGGCCAAUAAGAACAGCAAUUAAUAGAGGUCAGGCAAUUCAACUGCAUCUGUGGCCAUGACUAUCAGAGCCCUUGGAAACAGCAGUGAUUUCAAGUGAAAUCUAAAUCAGCAGUGUUUCAGGUGACCUAGAGCAGGGCCCACGGCCCAUAGCCCAUAUGUUAGCACUUCCUGAAGGUUUUCUUCCACCCAAAUCCACAUGUUGGGACCCAGGGGAAGGUGUAGCAAAGCCAGUGACCACUGUGUAAUCUUUGUUUUUUCUAUUUGACACUUUGUCAAAAAACACAUUCCUGUUUUCAUAGACUUCUUUUGAUUUUGAGAAAUUUAAAAGAUACAGAAAAGUAUGAAGAAUGUAAAGACACUAUAUUCCCACCACUAGACAUAAGAACUAGUAAUAUUUUGUACCAUCUCCUGCUAGCCUCUGCCCUCCUUCUAAGAAAUGAAACUACCACCCAUUUCUCAUUCCCCAUCCCCGGGCACAGCAAUGUUCAUGGGUUUGGUCGGUUUGUAUGUUUGGUAUCAUUUUAGAUACUUUGAUAUUCAUCUUAUAUCGAUAUAACAAAUAUACUACACUUUUAUGUGUAUAUGAAUAUUUAAAUAUAUAACAGAUAAAAACACAUGCCAUUUGUAAAUAUGCCAUGUAAAAACUGAUGGUGCUUAAUAAAUAUUUGUUGAAUGUCCAUCUAUAAACAAUGUAUUUGUGUGUUUUUAAUGUACAUGGUAUCAUACAAUUUUUAUCAUUCUGCAUAAUCC